Molecule: long non-coding RNA, 1309 nt
Organism: Aquila chrysaetos chrysaetos
Lineage: Eukaryota; Metazoa; Chordata; Aves; Accipitriformes; Accipitridae
Exons: 2
Source: RefSeq, a predicted model, not a curated record
GCCCUGAGGUGAAGGGGGGAUGCUCCCUGAGGUGUGUGGGUGCCCUGAGGUGCAGAGGGGUCCUCUCUGGGGAGAGGGGUGCCCUGAGGUGAAGGGGGGAUGCUCCCUGAGGUGUGUGGGUGCCCUGAGGUGCAGAGGGGUCCUCUCUGGGGAGAGGGGUGCCCUGAGGUGAAGGGGGGAUGCUCCCUGAGGUGUGUGGGUGCCCUGAGGUGAAGGGGGGGUCCUUCCUGAGGUGUGGGGUGCCCUGAGGUGAAAGAGGGGGUGCUUCCUGAGGUGUGGAGGUGCCCUGAAGUGCAGAGGGGUCCUCUCUGGGGUGUGGGGUGCCCUGAAGUGCAGAGAGCUGCUCCCUGGGGUGUGGGGUUCUCCCUGAGGUGAAGGAGGGGGUGCUUCCUGAGGUGUGGGGUGCCCUGAGAUGAAGGAGGGGGUGCUUCUUGAGGUGUGUGGGUGCCCUGAGGUACAGAGGGGUCCUCCCUGGGGUGUGGGGUGCCCUGAGGUGAAGGAGGGGGUGCUUCUUGAGGUGUGGGGUGCCCUGAGAUGCAGAGGGGUGCUCCCUGGGGUGUGGGGUGCUUUCUGAGGUGAAGGAGGGGGUGCUCCCUGGGGUGUGGGGUGCUUUCUGAGGUGCAGAGGGGUGCUCCCUGGGGUGUGGGGGUGCCCUGAGGUGAAAGGGCGGAGAGGUACUGCCUGAGGUGUAAGGGGGAGUUACCCGAGGUAUGGGGAUGCCUGAGCCAGAGUCCCUGAGCUUGAUGGAAGGAUGGUCCCUGAAGCAAGGGGUUUUGAGCACCCUUCUCUUGGGCUGGUAGGAAGAUGAGAGGGUGAGGUUCCGUUUUUGCUGGAGCAGGGGUCUGUGCCCCUUUCCCACCAGUACUGGAGAGUCAAGGUGCGGGUUUCCUCUCCGUGAGAGGCUGCUUCUGUGCCCAUAGAGGUGCUGGGUGCAAACUAAAGCAGGGAGUUGCAGCAUGGAUAACACCCAGAUAAAUCGGCUUUAAGCUUGGGUAACUGAUGAGGCCGGAGCAGCUGGGGUGCCCUCUCCUCUCCUGCGGUGUUGGGGGGUGAGCAUGGAUAAAAUGUACUGUGUGCUCUGAAAAGUCGUGAAAUGUUCCCUCCCAAUCACAUCCUUCCUUCAGCUAACUCUGUUUUUCCUGUUUGCUGGUAGUUGGCUUUUGGUUUACUGGGCAACCGUCCCACGUUUUAAUUUUGGAGAGCAUUAGGAGCAAGGUUAAGUGAGGAAGUCUAGGCUCUGGAUGAGGGUUUAGCAAUCCGUAUCAAACUAAGUCUGUGCCCUUUCCCCUCUUGCAUGCGGUGACUUUUA